Non-coding RNA from Paralichthys olivaceus (Japanese flounder), 1113 nucleotides. The record is from RefSeq and is a predicted model, not a curated record. Lineage: Eukaryota; Metazoa; Chordata; Actinopteri; Pleuronectiformes; Paralichthyidae.
GAGAGAAAUCACAGUCGUUUGGUUAAUGUUACUAACACUUUAAACUUAGCUCCACGUCGGCCAUGACAGGUCACCAUGCAGGUAGGUUACGCUAGCUGUGUAUAACGUGUAUCUAGAUGCAGCUAAAGUGAAGAUAGUGGCGGAAGUAUAACUAAAAGAACUGUAAUGAAUCAUUACAUAGGUGUUUGGGUUAGUUUGAAUCAGAGGGUGAUACAGGCUAGCGGAGGCCUGUUAGCUUCUCUACCGGCUACUAGCUAAAAGCCCGCUGACGUUAGCUCUGAAGGCUGCUAACAAGAAUACAAGUUUACGAUAGUUAAACGCCACCGCGGAGACUUAAUCUACUGUUUAGCCGCUGAGCUCUGAGGACCGUGUUGUCUCGGUGGAGGGAGGCUCGAGCUCGGGGCACAUUUCUCUCCGUGUUCCGCCAUGUUUCCACCGCUCACUUGCGUUAGCUCUCUUCACAAUCAAAGCUCAUCCUCGGUGUCAGAGCCGGGGCUGCUCCAUCACACUGACCCGAUGGAAGGCUCACAAUCACGGCUUUAAUCACACUGGAGUAUUUCAGAUAAAUUAGCAGUGAGCAGAUUAAUAAAGUCAGAGAAACGCUGUACCUUCAUUUUGCCAAACCGACCCUUCAACGGUCCGCCACGGAAAAGAGGCCGGAUAUCCGCCCCGAGCUCUCACAUAGGCUGGCUAUGGAUCCAUCAUAUUCAGGAAGAGAAGUCAGGAUGGCGCCGCCCUGUGGAGAGAUGGCCGCACAGCAGCUGGUCCAGUAGCAGCUCUGUCUCUAAACAGCUGAUCUCAGACUCUCCUGUGAACAUCCGGUAUGAGAGCUGCACAAUCCAGAUCUUCUACAGUGUGUUUUACAUUAUUAUCAUUGUAACCUUUCACACAUUGAUGCUGCUGUCAUUGCUACUGUCAAAUGAUGUUACAUUGUUGAAUCUAUCAUUGUGCACCUGAUAUAUGCUUCAAUACAACCGUUAUCUCUCAUUGUCAAAUGUCACAGAGAGUUCAUUGAAAAAAAUGUAUGUGAUGUUGCUGUGCUAUAAAAAUAAGAUGCAAUUAAACAGAGUGAGUGCUUGGAUUAUGCUGAGAAGAAGAAAAAGAAGAAGACGA